Molecule: long non-coding RNA, 1113 nt
Organism: Patiria miniata (bat star)
Lineage: Eukaryota; Metazoa; Echinodermata; Asteroidea; Valvatida; Asterinidae
Exons: 7
Source: RefSeq, a predicted model, not a curated record
UAUGCAGCGGCCUGGAAACCCUAGGAUGCCGUGCCAUAAAGGAGCAGGUAGUGCGUCCCUCUUUAUAGGGGCGUGGCCCUGUAUUCACAGCCGGCAAACGCUGCUACUUCCUCAGAACGCAUGAACCUGUAAUGGGGGAUGAACUGAGGGGGGCACGCAUAUAGGUUAGGGUACUCUCCUGAUCCUUCGGGGUUGGGGGGGCGUACCGGACAGUCGGCAACUGUGCAUGGCCCUCCGGGGCCGGCCUUUUGCCCAGCAAUGGACCUGACGAUACUGAAAGCGUGUUUGGGGCUGGUAUCCUGGGACCUUCACGUGGUGGCCCUGUUUAAACCAAUCUUACCAGGAUGUGCUUCCAGAAGGGUUACAUCUAAAAACAAGGUACAAGCUACCACGGAUGAGAAGCUUACUGGAGAGAAGAGGGAAAGUAGCGAUGAAACAACGAUUUCAGGGGAAUCCGAUCAUCCAAUCCAAGUUAUUUUGUUAUUGCAGUUUAACCCCCCCCCCUCCCCACUGGAGAUGAGAGGCUGUAGAGGAAUUUGUUGUGGUGACAAUGAAUCAUUCUAAUCAAAGUCAGUAUGGGCUCUGAGAAACACGCAGGAGACAAGAUCUGCCGCAGCCAUUGUUAGCAAGAACUACCAGUUUAAUAAGGUGGACCACUGAGCACGAUAGCCUUGCAUAGGAGAGCGUCACGAGUGGAUUUACAACUGACUGACCAAUCAACUUUCAUCGGAACUUUCUGAAGUAGUGGUGGUGGGAAAGCUAGGUUUUCAGAAACUUGCCGAUCAAGUGUGACACACGCAAGCUCCAUCUCCAAUUUCUUGCCACCACAGACGGAUGUUUCAGUGAAGUCGUUUUGCUCCAACCUCUCUGCCAUCUGCCAUGCGAUGGGCGCUAGAGCACAUCCCGUUGAAGAAGUCGGUAGCUAGGGGUGGAGGAGCAAAGUUCAAGUUAACAACGCUGAUGUUUAAUGGUAGCUACUAGAGAUCCUGGAUGCUGACUCUGCCUAGGUUUUCACAAUACCUGGACCUAAAAGAUGAGCUGCUUUUGAUGCUGAAAUGCACUGACACGGCACUACUUUGUGACAUCACACAUCACGUAAAUCCUCACCGUUUU